RNAcentral lists this ribosomal RNA (468 nucleotides) under uncultured bacterium. RNAcentral describes it as "partial 16S ribosomal RNA". It matches the Rfam family "Bacterial small subunit ribosomal RNA", at positions 28 to 507 of the family's 1533-position model. The record is from RNAcentral.
GACGAACGCUGGCGGCGUGCUUAACACAUGCAAGUCGAACGGAAAGGCCCUGCUUUUGUGGGGUGCUCGAGUGGCGAACGGGUGAGUAACACGCGAGUAACCUGCCCUUGACUUUGGGAUAACUUCAGGAAACUGGGGUUAAUAUCGGAUAGGAGCUCCUGCUGCAUGGUGGGGGUGGGAAAGUUUCGGCGGUUGGGGAUGGAAUCGUGGCUUAUCAGUGUGUUGGUGGGGUAGUGGCUUACAAAGGCUCUGACGGGUAGCCGGCCUGAGAGGGUGACCGGCCACAAUGGGACUGAGAUACGGCCCAGACUCCUACGGGAGGCAGCAGUGGGGAAUAUUGCACAAAGGGCGGAAGCCGGAUGCAGCAACGCCGCGUGCGGGAUGACGGCCUUCGGGUUGUAAACCGCUUUCGCCUGGGACGAAGCGUGAGUGACGGUAAUGGGUAAAGAAGCACCGGCUAACUACGUG